CCGGCCUAAUGGUGGAUUUAGUUAGCCUCCUCUGGAUCAGAGAACUGUGCCUUUGCUGUAGUAUCUGAGCCUACUUUACUGAACUUAAGUGUGGUAUUAUUCUCCAGAGUUCUCAGAGCAUCCUCAGCCCACUCUUAGCCAGAAGACAGAGCUUAGAACUCCUUUUGGUUUCUGCUGUUGGAUCAAAGAGCCUUAGCCCGCCAUAAGACAGGGUUUUUCAAGGGCUGCUUUGAGCAGAGACAGCUACAUCUGGGGGCAAUGCAAUAUAUAAAUAAACUGGUUAGAAAGAC
Long non-coding RNA from Podarcis raffonei (Aeolian wall lizard), 290 nucleotides. RefSeq lists it as uncharacterized. The record is from RefSeq and is a predicted model, not a curated record. The transcript has 2 exons. NCBI's taxonomy places the organism in Eukaryota, Metazoa, Chordata, Lepidosauria, Squamata, Lacertidae.